GGCUCGAGGACGAACGCUGGCGGCGUGCUUAAUACAUGCAAGUCAACUUGACUUUAGAUAGCAAUAUCGAAAAGUAGGGUGGCGCACGGGUGCGUAACGCGUAGGUAAUCUGCCCUGAGGUCUGACAUAACCCGUCGAAAGGCGGGCUAACAUCAGAUGAUAUAUAAUCACGACAUCGUGGAAAUAUCAAAUCUUCGGAGCCUUGGGAUGAGCCUGCGUCUGAUUAGGUAGUUGGCGGAGUAAUAGCCCACCAAGCCUACGAUCAGUAGCUGGUCUGAGAGGAUGAUCAGCCACACUGGAACUGAGACACGGUCCAGACUCCUACGGGAGGCAGCAGUAAGGAAUAUUGCUCAAUGGGGGGAAACCCUGAAGCAGCAACGCCGCGUGAAGGAUGAAAUACUUUGUAUGUAAACUUCUGUAAGAUGGGAAAAAUAUUCUCCUCGGGAGAAUUGAUUGUACCAUCAGAGUAAGCCCCGGCUAACUACGUG
RNAcentral lists this ribosomal RNA (488 nucleotides) under uncultured bacterium. RNAcentral describes it as "bacterial SSU rRNA". It matches the Rfam family "Bacterial small subunit ribosomal RNA", at positions 26 to 507 of the family's 1533-position model. The record is from RNAcentral.